Tribolium castaneum (red flour beetle) is the source of this 872-nucleotide long non-coding RNA. RefSeq lists it as uncharacterized. The transcript is spliced from 2 exons. The record is from RefSeq and is a predicted model, not a curated record. Lineage: Eukaryota; Metazoa; Arthropoda; Insecta; Coleoptera; Tenebrionidae.
UUAAAAAAUUUGUGUUAAAAUAUCUGCAAAAGACGGUCACUAUCAGGGGCCUUGGUGGCCCAGUGGUAUAAGCGCCACUUACGACGGGGGAGGUCGGGGUUCGAACCCGGAUCAGGGCUGAAAGUUUGCGACGAAAAUGGGUAAUUGCCAUGAAAAGGGAACAUUUCGAACCGUCAAAAUAUUCGAAGCUGUGUUCAGAUCAUUUCAAAAAGGAAGACUUUGUUUUUACUUUUGGCUAAAAAACAUUAAAAUUGGGCACAGUGCCUACGAUUUUUAAUUUUCCAUCGCAUUUAUUAAAGAAGGAACCCAAGGAACGCUCCACUAGGCUCCGAAACUUUGAAAAUGAUGGUAAUUUGGUUGAGACGGUUGUGACCAAUGUUGUGACAGAAUCAGAAACUGGCGCAUCUGAAGUAUCUGUGACCAGUUCUUCCACUUCCCAUCAAGAGCAGCAGCCAUCAACCUCCACGGUACCUUCUGCAGAUGUUUUUUUAAUCUGCAGAGCUGCCAAAAAUGUAUUCAGAAAUUAUGAGAUGAUCUCAUCAGGAAACGUUAUUUUACGGCUAAUAUAUUUAACAAGAAAACAACUGAAAAUUUGUGAAUUAUUUGUUAAACUGAAUGACCACAUUCUGGAUCAAGAUCCUCUGAACAAUCAUUUGUUGCAACUUGUAAAUUUAAUUUUAAAAACUUUUUUUACGAUUCGGUUGCACCACAAAAAUAUGUCAAUCAAUGAAACCAAAGAAAGAAUUCGGCACAAAUAUUCAAAAUUAAUUUUAUUUAAAAAUCAAUGAAAGCCGUUUACUUUGCGUUUUUUCUCCUUGUUGUAAUCUUUAAACUGUUUAUGCCGCAAUAAUAAAAUUUUAAAUUAGAAUUCA